UCGCCCUGAUGGAACUGCUGCUUUCCAACAAUGAGCCUUGAUAUGUUGUUUAGUUUUACAACAAGCUUGUAGCACUUGAUUUUAUACUUCUAUACAAAUAAAAGAUCUUAUAUGUAUUCCUUCUGCCCAUAAAAGUUGUGGGACAAAUGAAAAUUUUAAUAUUUUUUACUUCUAUACAAAUAGGAGAUCUUGUACGUAUUCUUUUUACCCAUAAAAG
RNAcentral lists this long non-coding RNA (217 nucleotides) under Carica papaya (papaya). RNAcentral describes it as "long non-coding RNA (CPAP_LNC006166)". Lineage: Eukaryota; Viridiplantae; Streptophyta; Magnoliopsida; Brassicales; Caricaceae. The record is from RNAcentral.